This 346-nucleotide long non-coding RNA is filed under the name Mytilus galloprovincialis (Mediterranean mussel). Lineage: Eukaryota; Metazoa; Mollusca; Bivalvia; Mytilida; Mytilidae. The record is from RNAcentral.
GUCUGUUCUAUGGUCGGGUUGUUGUCUCUUUGACACAUUCCCAAUUUCCAUUUUCAAUUUUAUUUGUAUAAUGAAUAUAAUUUUAUAUGUGAUUUUUAAUAACUUGUUAACAGCAAUCAAUCAAUAUUUGUAUUUUUCGUGCCAGUAUCAUAGUACUGUCUACUGGGCAGGGGACUAACAGUCAAGAAGCAAAGGGAAUUGUGAUGCAACAGAUAUGAUUUGGAAUAUUUUUUUUUAAAGAUAGCACAAGGUCAUGUUUUUUGUGUAUUUGUUAAUGACGCUUUUGUGCUCAAUCCUGAUGAUUUUGGAUGUGUACUGAUUGAUAUUUUAGUCUUCGACACAUGAU